RNAcentral lists this long non-coding RNA (1241 nucleotides) under Homo sapiens (human). Its description in RNAcentral is "HSALNT0279226". The record is from RNAcentral. Lineage: Eukaryota; Metazoa; Chordata; Mammalia; Primates; Hominidae.
GUCACGGCACAAGCGGCUGAUUUCCAGAUAAAGGGAGCAAGUCAUAACUGGGAUGAGUGUUCCUAGGGCCAGAGGGAUGGAGGCAGUACCCCAGGGAAAGGGUGCUGGUGUCCGUGAACAUGGCCGUUUCACGCCUCCUGGUGCCGAUGGAGUGGCGCUUUCUACACCACAACUUGCUUCCUUCCUUCCUCAGUACUUCCCGGUGCCUUUCUGCCACUGAGGUCGGCCUCCUUUCAUGGAACUGAUGUACGUGAAUCUGCGACAUGGAUGCAUCAUCAUUUACAUAACCGGUUUCCAACCCGUGAACGUUGACGUCGUCUGCAAAUGUUCAUUCUCGGGAGCAGGGCUGCAGGAUCCUCCUGGGGGCCACUUUCUGCACAUGCACAGACUUCCGCAGAGAUUUUCAAACCUAAAACUGCUGCAUAAAAGAAAAUGCACAUUUAAAAUGUGAUAGAUGCCGCCAAUUUGCCCCUGAAACGUAUCCAUUUUCUCUGGUUUAUUUUCAUGAUUUCUCCUUAGAAUUUUUCACUGUCUGCAGCUAAUCCAUGUUCUGACCAUCGAUCGGCCUGGCUGUGUUUCCAUCAGCUGUGGACACCCUGUGGACAGACACGGGGCUCCUAUCAUCUCCCCUUGCCUUUCCAGGCCUGGGAACGUUUACUGAAUGAAUGAAUCCAAGGACUGAGCCACAGUUCAGGAGGACACACAUUUCCCCAGCCCCUACCAAUCCUGAAUGUUGAGAAUCCCUCCAAUUUAGCCAAUUUGAGAGAGGUAUCAUUGUUUUUAUACUAGUGAGGUUGAUUGAUUGUAUUUUAUGUUUAUUUGCCAUUUAUACAUAUUUCUUUAAUUUGCUUGUUCAUAUAAUUUUUUCCAUUCUUUAAUUGUUUUAGUUGUAUUUUUCUUGUUGAAGUGUGAGAUAUAUAUUUAUCUAUAUAUUAUAUACGCACAUAUAUAUAUCAUCUUAAUUCAAGGAAGCUUAAAGAUUUUAGCAAUUUAGUUCAGUACCAGUGAAUUUCAUCAAUCUUUUUUUCAAUCAACAAGCACAGAAUGGAUUCAUAAGCGAUAAUUUAGACUGUACUUUGUAACAUUGAUUAUAUCAUUGUCUUCACAUUUUCAUUUGGAUUUACUGUAUGGGAUAAUAGUAAUAUGCAAAGCAAUGAGCAUUAAAUAUGUGUAAAUAUUUAAACAUUCCAGAGUCAGUCAGAAAUUCUCCAUUGUGUUAAAAGACAGUGAAAUUUUAAAAA